AUCUGAAAAGGGCAAACUCCGCGAAAGCGGAGGACGCAAAGUCAACGGUCUAAUGAGCCUUCGGGCUCGAUGACGGCAGGACUGCCAGA
This 89-nucleotide non-coding RNA is filed under the name Massilia sp. RNAcentral describes it as "c-di-GMP sequence". It matches the Rfam family "c-di-GMP-I riboswitch aptamer". Rfam says of the family: GEMM was predicted in a large-scale screen for bacterial structured RNA regulatory elements. Genes associated with GEMM are involved in a diverse array of functions, including chemotaxis regulation, signal transduction, secretion and chitin. Lineage: Bacteria; Pseudomonadati; Pseudomonadota; Betaproteobacteria; Burkholderiales; Oxalobacteraceae. RNAcentral also lists the same sequence under 1 other name. The record is from RNAcentral.